CUCCUCCUCAGCAUCAGACCUAAAGGGAGUGUCCUGCCUGAAGGACCGGCUCAAGGUCGCACUAACAGCUCUUGCUAACUCCUGUUCCAGGCUGUUUAUCUGGGCCUCCAAGUACCCUGCUUGCGCCUGGAGGUCUCUCACCCCCAGGUCCUGCUCAAAGCUGUGCACUUGGGCCCCCAGGCAUGCGGCUUGCUCCGGAAGGUCCCUUACCUGUGGCACUGAGCAUGUACUUCCUGCAGUGCAGUUAGAAAUGCCCAUCCGACUCUGCUUGCAAAGACAUCUGCAAUGGCAGUUCACAUGGCUCAGAUAGCUCACUUCUGCAGAGAGCUGAAUUUAAGUGGGACAGGGUAGCAAGAAUAAUUACUUUGACAAUCAUUUUGCCACCUGAUGACUGUGCUGCCUGUCCUGAGCUGAGGCACAGCUGCUUAAAGACUGUUACCGGAAAGGAAUCCUGAUCCAGACGCCAAGAGAGGGUUCUUGGACUCAUGCAAGAAAGACUUCAGCUGGCUGCAGAUGACAGUGACACCCUGGGAGUUGAGAAAUGCUUGUAAGAUGGAAGGAGGCUGUGUCCCUGAAUGAUCACCUGGAAGAGAGCCACCUUAGCCAAUGAAACUCCUGCUAUGAAUGUUUGCUGAGCAAGAAAUAUACUUACUGCUUUAUAUGCCUUUGAAGCUAUAGGUUCAUAUUGUUACCACAAUUUAAAGUGCUAUAAUAAAAAGAGUUCAGGAAGCAGGCACAUGGAAGCAAUAAGAGCAACAAACAUUUACACAGGACAGAGAUCAUGGAAGUUGGGCCCGACUGGAUGAGAUUUGGGGGUCUUUGGAAGUGGAGAAUGUGUUUGCCCUGGGGAAGAGAGGUGAUGUCUAGGAGACCUCUUCACUCAGGGCAAGCUCUAUGACCUGCUUUGACUCCAGAAUGUGGUAGAAGUGGCAUCACAUAAAUUGCAGAGCCUAGGCUUCAAGAGACCUUGCAACUUGCCUCUCACUGACUUGAAGUGCUCCCAUCAGAGCAUCUUGUAAGGAGCAGGUGGAGCAUGUGGACAAGCCAUCCCCACCAGCCCCUGAGACAUGUGAGAGAGGCCAGAACAGGCCAUCCGGACCCCACUGUGCUGGUGGAUGAGACAGCAGAAGGAAUAUCAACCUACCAACAGAAUCCUGAGAAAUGCUCACUCUUACUUCAAGCUGCUGCAUUUUGAUGUUAUGAAACCAUAAAUAACUUAUGAAGUCAUCUUUGCUGACUUAAAGUUUUCCAUAACUUUAUUAUAACAUAUCAAAAUUAUGAAAAAUGUGAAAAGUAGAAAACUGAUGAAUUUUGCUUCUUCAUAUGGUCUUUAAGAAUCUCAAAGGCACUGAAGUUUUUUAUCUUUUCUGUCUUAGAAUAAAAAACCUUGAAUGAAAA
This 1398-nucleotide long non-coding RNA is filed under the name Homo sapiens (human). Its description in RNAcentral is "long intergenic non-protein coding RNA 2984". The record is from RNAcentral. Lineage: Eukaryota; Metazoa; Chordata; Mammalia; Primates; Hominidae.